RNAcentral lists this transfer RNA (72 nucleotides) under Toxocara canis (dog roundworm). It matches the Rfam family "tRNA". From Rfam's summary of the family: Transfer RNA (tRNA) molecules are approximately 80 nucleotides in length. Their secondary structure includes four short double-helical elements and three loops (D, anti-codon, and T loops). Lineage: Eukaryota; Metazoa; Nematoda; Chromadorea; Rhabditida; Toxocaridae. The record is from Rfam by way of RNAcentral.
CGGGUAGUAGCUCAGCGGUAGAGCCUUCGCCUGAUAUGCGAAGAGACCCGGCUUCAACUCCCGACUGCUUCG